UGGGGAAUUUUGGACAAUGGGCGCAAGCCUGAUCCAGCAAUGCCGUGUGCAGGAUGAAGGCCUUCGGGUUGUAAACCGCUUUUGUCGGGGAAGAAGAGCCUUGGGUUAAUACCCUGGGGUGAUGACGGUACCCGAAGAAUAAGCACCGGCUAACUACGUGCCAGCAGCCGCGGUAAUACGUAGGGUGCAAGCGUUAAUCGGAAUUACUGGGCGUAAAGCGUGCGCAGGCGGUUAUGCAAGACAGAUGUGAAAUCCCCGGGCUUAACCUGGGAACUGCAUUUGUGACUGCAUAGCUAGAGUACGGUAGAGGGGGAUGGAAUUCCGCGUGUAGCAGUGAAAUGCGUAGAUAUGCGGAGGAACACCGAUGGCGAAGGCAAUCCCCUGGACCUGUACUGACGCUCAUGCACGAAAGCGUGGGGAGCAAACA
This 427-nucleotide ribosomal RNA is filed under the name uncultured bacterium. Its description in RNAcentral is "bacterial SSU rRNA". It matches the Rfam family "Bacterial small subunit ribosomal RNA", at positions 355 to 774 of the family's 1533-position model. The record is from RNAcentral.